UAUGAUGUGCCUGAAAAAGGAUUAUUUUGAUAGAAUAAAUUAUAUAUUAAUAAUUAAUAUCUUCAUAU
Molecule: transfer RNA, 68 nt
Filed under: Eustenogaster scitula
Lineage: Eukaryota; Metazoa; Arthropoda; Insecta; Hymenoptera; Vespidae
Description: tRNA-Ile
Source: RNAcentral